UACGGAGGGUGCAAGCGUUGUUCGGAAUUAUUGGGCGUAAAGAGCGUGUAGGCGGCCAUGAAAGUCUGAUGUGAAAUCCCGGGGCUUAACCCCGGAAGUGCAUUGGAUACUGCAUGGCUAGAGGAUCGGAGGGGAAGUCGGAAUUCCUGGUGUAGGGGUGAAAUCCGUAGAUAUCAGGAGGAACACCGAUGGCGAAGGCAGACUUCUGGACGAUUUCUGACGCUGAGACGCGAAAGCGUGGGUAGCAAACAGG
This 253-nucleotide unclassified non-coding RNA is filed under the name uncultured delta proteobacterium. RNAcentral's name for it is "contains 16S-23S intergenic spacer region". It matches the Rfam family "Bacterial small subunit ribosomal RNA", at positions 524 to 776 of the family's 1533-position model. Lineage: Bacteria; Deltaproteobacteria. The record is from RNAcentral.